Long non-coding RNA from Catharus ustulatus (Swainson's thrush), 215 nucleotides. RefSeq lists it as uncharacterized. NCBI's taxonomy places the organism in Eukaryota, Metazoa, Chordata, Aves, Passeriformes, Turdidae. The transcript is spliced from 3 exons. The record is from RefSeq and is a predicted model, not a curated record.
UUUCCUGUCACACCAGGAAGCUGCACUGCCGACUGGUAUUGAACAGCCACCAUCUGCAUAUGUGAGUUGCCAGCCUUUUCAGCUCAUUGCUUCUCCACGUGGCCACAAGAUUGUCAUGACCUCUACACAGCUCAGCCUUGGAUGGAACUUCUUACAGAAGCCCAAGUUCUGAAGGAGUGUCCCGCAGACCCGUGACUCCUGCCGCAGUCAGCAGG